GAGCGGGCACUUUCGGGUGUCAGCGGCAGACGGGUGAGUAACACGUGGGAACGUACCCUUUGGUUCGGAAUAACGCUGGGAAACUAGCGCUAAUACCGGAUACGCCCUUUUGGGGAAAGGCUUGCUGCCGAAGGAUCGGCCCGCGUCUGAUUAGCUAGUUGGUGGGGUAAUGGCCUACCAAGGCGACGAUCAGUAGCUGGUCUGAGAGGAUGAUCAGCCACACUGGGACUGAGACACGGCCCAGACUCCUACGGGAGGCAGCAGUGGGGAAUAUUGGACAAUGGGCGCAAGCCUGAUCCAGCCAUGCCGCGUGAGUGAUGAAGGCCUUAGGGUUGUAAAGCUCUUUUGUCCGGGACGAUAAUGACGGUACCGGAAGAAUAAGCCCCGGCUAACUUCGUG
RNAcentral lists this ribosomal RNA (399 nucleotides) under uncultured bacterium. Its description in RNAcentral is "bacterial SSU rRNA". It matches the Rfam family "Bacterial small subunit ribosomal RNA", at positions 64 to 507 of the family's 1533-position model. The record is from RNAcentral.